This 255-nucleotide ribosomal RNA is filed under the name uncultured Actinomycetales bacterium. Its description in RNAcentral is "partial 16S ribosomal RNA". It matches the Rfam family "Bacterial small subunit ribosomal RNA", at positions 78 to 334 of the family's 1533-position model. The record is from RNAcentral. Lineage: Bacteria; Bacillati; Actinomycetota; Actinomycetes; Actinomycetales.
UUUUGUGGGGUGCUCGAGUGGCGAACGGGUGAGUAACACGUGAGUAACCUGCCCUUGACUUUGGGAUAACUUCAGGAAACUGGGGCUAAUACCGGAUAGGAGCUCCUGCUGCAUGGUGGGGGUUGGAAAGUUUCGGCGGUUGGGGAUGGACUCGCGGCUUAUCGGCUUGUUGGUGGGGUAGUGGCUUACCAAGGCUUUGACGGGUAGCCGGCCUGAGAGGGUGACCGGCCACAUUGGGACUGAGAUACGGCCCAG